AGGAAACACAGGUUCUUGUUCAAUCACUAAAGUUAAGCAAUGUCAAGCCUGGUUAGUACUUAGAUGGGUUACCACUUGAGAAUACCAAGAGCUGUAAG
This is a non-coding RNA of Acanthosepion pharaonis, 98 nucleotides long. The record is from the annotation of a GenBank genome assembly. Lineage: Eukaryota; Metazoa; Mollusca; Cephalopoda; Sepiida; Sepiidae.